This 1890-nucleotide long non-coding RNA is filed under the name Homo sapiens (human). RNAcentral describes it as "non-protein coding MIR22HG:32". The stretch from base 340 to 423 matches the Rfam family "mir-22 microRNA precursor family". Lineage: Eukaryota; Metazoa; Chordata; Mammalia; Primates; Hominidae. The record is from RNAcentral.
AAUCAGAGGAUGCGAUUGCUGACCCUUUGCACUUUGGCAUGGCCCAUCCCCUAAUUUCUGACCAGAAGCCCUCCCUCUACCCUAAGCUCGUGCGUCACGACGCCGCCAGCUGAUCGGAGCCUGGAGCCGGUGUGUGCUGGGUGCCGAGAAGAGACAGCGCCGCCGGCCGUGGGGAGCGGACGCAGUGAUUUGCUCCCCCUCGUGCAGCAACCCCCACACCCAGCACCAGGCCCCCAGAACUCUCCUUCCAGCUGAACUCCCUGGGAACAAGUCAGUUGGGCUGAUCACUGAACUCACAUUUCUGGACCUGAGGAGCCUGUUCCUCUCACGCCCUCACCUGGCUGAGCCGCAGUAGUUCUUCAGUGGCAAGCUUUAUGUCCUGACCCAGCUAAAGCUGCCAGUUGAAGAACUGUUGCCCUCUGCCCCUGGCUUCGAGGAGGAGGAGGAGCUGCUUUCCCCAUCAUCUGGAAGGUGACAGAAAUGGGCUGGGAAGGUCCGAACAGCAGGGUGGAUGAUACGUUUUGGGCAAGUUGGAGAGCCUUUGCCCAGAUUGGCCCAGCAAGGAGCGGUUUUAGAUUAGAGACACUGGCUGGAUUGAGGAGUAGAAGGCUCAAACAACCCAAGGCUUUCUGCCUCCGAGAUGUGGCACCAUAGUGCGGUGCCCUGUGGCUUCACCGCCCUACUUCCACCUCCGCCCAGCCUGUAAUGUUUAUAUAAGCAGCCUCAAGGACCAAGAACCAUCUGCGAAAGGACACACACAGGAAAUUCAUAAAAGAAAUCUGAAUGGAUAAAACCAUGAAAAAAAGUAUGCUUCAUUAGUAAUUAAAGAAAGGCAAAUAGAGCUGGAAGCAUUUUUCCCUUAGCAAACCAUAACAGAAAAAAAUAAGACCCAAUAUUGGCAAAGAGACUACUGAAAAAACAUUCCCAUACAUUGCGUGUGGGAGUAUACAUCGGUGCAGGCUUCCUGGAUGACAGUUGGGUGAUAUGUGUCAUGUGGCCUAAAAGCCUCCAUGUCAUUUGACCUACGAAUUCUAUCUUUGGGAAUUUAUCCUAAGAAAAUACUUAAGGAUUUAGUUAGUGAUAAGAUGUUCAUCCCAGCAUUGCAAUGGAGAAAAAUGGGAAGCAAUGGUUUGGUUGGGAAUUUAUUCCUUUUCUGCUGUAACGAAAGUUUGCAAUAGGGGAUUGCUUAAGUAAAUUAUUGUAUCUCCAUCCAGAUGGUGGAGUACCGCGCAGACAUUAAAAGUCAUGUAAAAGAACAUCUGACUGAAAGAAAAAUGCUCCUUGAAUAUUAAAAGGUUGUAAAAAUAGUGCAUGUUAUGUGAUUUCAAUUUUGUUUUUUAAAAUAUGGGUGUAUGCUUGUAUACGUAGAGCAGAUAAAAAAGACGGAAGGCAUACUAAAAAAUGUUGAGUGGUUAUCUUUGUAUGGUGGAACAAAGUCACUGUAAUUUUCAUCUUUGGUUUUUCUGUAAUUUCCAAAUUUUCCACAUUUUGUAUUUCAUAUAAUAUAAUUUAAGAGAUCAGUGUUAUUAUUUAAACCUUUGGAGAGGUGGGGGUAGAAGAAUGAAGGGAAGACCUCAGCUUUUUGGUGAGAAGGUUUGGUUGGGGCACCUCUUGGUUUAUGAACUUAAUUCUUUGAAGUAGCUGGAAUCCUCCCUCUCAGCCUGCAGGAAACAGCUCUGACUUGCUGACUGUCUGCCAGCUGAAGAGGUGGAGUGGAGUAAGGUGGAAGGAAAGCAGUGCAACCUGGGGCUCUUCAGGUGGUGAGGGGCUGGGGGAGGCUCUUCCUCUUAAGGCUGGAGGGUUCUGGAAUCCUAACCGCCCUGCUACUAAGAGCAGGACAGGUCUGUUUUUCUCUUCUGACUCUGUCCCAGCCUUGAAGGGACCCUGUGU